This 775-nucleotide ribosomal RNA is filed under the name uncultured Neocallimastigales. RNAcentral describes it as "partial large subunit ribosomal RNA". It matches the Rfam family "Eukaryotic large subunit ribosomal RNA", at positions 23 to 616 of the family's 3401-position model. The record is from RNAcentral. Lineage: Eukaryota; Fungi; Neocallimastigomycota; Neocallimastigomycetes; Neocallimastigales.
GAGAGAGACAUGCGCGCAUAUCAAUAAGCGGAGGAAAAGAAACUAACAAGGAUUCCCCUAGUAACGGCGAGUGAAGCGGGAAGAGCUCAAAUUUGAAAUCUUAAAGGGUUUCCCUUUACGAAUUGUAGUUUAAAGAAGUGUUUUCUGUUGAGGUUUUGGUAAAAGUUCUUUGGAAUAGGACAUCAUAGAGGGUGAGAAUCCCGUAUUUGACCUUUACUUUCAACUUUGUGAUACACUUUCAAAGAGUCGGAUUGUUUGGGAAUGCAGUCCAAAAUGGGUGGUAAAUUUCAUCUAAAGCUAAAUAUUGGCGAGAGACCGAUAGCGAACAAGUACCGUGAGGGAAAGAUGAAAAGAACUUUGAAAAGAGAGUUAAACAGUACGUGAAAUUGUCAAAAGGGAAGCGUUUGACACCAGUGUUGUUUUUCUGAAAAUCAAUUAAAGAACUGUUUAUGCUAAGCUGUUUAGACUUUAUCAGCUAACUGUUUAGUUUUGAGCUUUUCUUUAAUGCACUUUUCAGUUAACAAGAUCAACAUCAAUUUCUUUUGCUGUAAAAAAGCUUGAGGAAGGUGGCUUGAGAUUCGUCUUAAGUGUUUAUAGCCUCUUGCCUAUGCAGUCGGAGAGAUUGAGGUCUGCAGCGUAGAUCCUUCGGGGCUAAAUGCAUUUGUGCUAAGUUAUAGCCUUUCAUAGACAACUUGUUGACUAUGAUCUAGUCAUGUAGCUUACUCGCUUAUGCUAUUUUACCUACGCUUAGGAUGUUGAGCGCAUGUCUCUCUCU